Molecule: ribosomal RNA, 92 nt
Filed under: Bacteroides sp.
Lineage: Bacteria; Pseudomonadati; Bacteroidota; Bacteroidia; Bacteroidales; Bacteroidaceae
Description: partial 16S ribosomal RNA
Rfam family: Bacterial small subunit ribosomal RNA
Source: RNAcentral
AUAACAACGGAGAGUUUGAUCCUGGCUCAGGAUGAACGCUAGCGACAGGCUUAACACAUGCAAGUCGAGGGGCAGCGGGGGAGUAGCAAUAC